Molecule: ribosomal RNA, 490 nt
Filed under: uncultured bacterium
Lineage: Bacteria
Description: partial 16S ribosomal RNA
Rfam family: Bacterial small subunit ribosomal RNA
Source: RNAcentral
AUUGAACGCUGGCGGCAGGCCUAACACAUGCAAGUCGAACGGUAACAGGAAACAGCUUGCUGUUUCGCUGACGAGUGGCGGACGGGUGAGUAAUGUCUGGGAAACUGCCUGAUGGAGGGGGAUAACCACUGGAAACGGUAGCUAAUACCGCAUAACGUCGCAAGACCAAAGAGGGGGACCUUCGGGCCUCUUGCCAUCGGAUGUGCCCAGAUGGGAUUAGCUAGUAGGUGGGGUAACGGCUCACCUAGGCGACGAUCCCUAGCUGGUCUGAGAGGAUGACCAGCCACACUGGAACUGAGACACGGUCCAGACUCCUACGGGAGGCAGCAGUGGGGAAUAUUGCACAAUGGGCGCAAGCCUGAUGCAGCCAUGCCGCGUGUAUGAAGAAGGCCUUCGGGUUGUAAAGUACUUUCAGCGGGGAUGAAGGGAGUAAAGUUAAUACCUUUGCUCAUUGACGUUACCCGCAGAAGAAGCACCGGCUAACUCCGUG